RNAcentral lists this small RNA (83 nucleotides) under Prunus dulcis (almond). RNAcentral describes it as "sRNA ncRNA". The record is from RNAcentral. Lineage: Eukaryota; Viridiplantae; Streptophyta; Magnoliopsida; Rosales; Rosaceae.
ACACCUUACUCGGACAGGAUCUGUUCUAUAGUAAUCGUACCUCUGUAUCCUUGAUUUCUAAGGAGACAGGAAUCGUAAUAAUC